Molecule: ribosomal RNA, 340 nt
Filed under: uncultured cyanobacterium
Lineage: Bacteria; Bacillati; Cyanobacteriota
Description: bacterial SSU rRNA
Rfam family: Bacterial small subunit ribosomal RNA
Source: RNAcentral
UCUUGGGUUGUAAACCCCUUUUCUCAGGGAAGAAAAAAAUGACGGUACCUGAGGAAUAAGCAUCGGCUAACUCCGUGCCAGCAGCCGCGGUAAUACGGAGGAUGCAAGCGUUAUCCGGAAUGAUUGGGCGUAAAGCGUCUGUAGGUGGUUUGGCAAGUCUGCCGUUAAAGGUCGGGGCUCAACUCCGAAAAGGCGGUGGAAACUGCCAGACUAGAGUGUGGUAGGGGUAGAGGGAAUUCCCGGUGUAGCGGUGAAAUGCGUAGAUAUCGGGAAGAACACCGGUGGCGAAGGCGCUCUACUGGGCCACAACUGACACUGAGGGACGAAAGCUAGGGGAGCG